GAUAAGUGCUGAAAGCAUCUAAGCACGAAACUUGCCCCGAGAUGAGUUCUCCCUGACUCCUUGAGAGUCCUGAAGGAACGUUGAAGACGACGACGUUGAUAGGCCGGAUGUGUAAGCGCAGCGAUGCGUUGAGCUAACCGGUACUAAUGAACCGUGAGGCUUAACCUUACAACGCCGAAGGUGUUU
This 186-nucleotide ribosomal RNA is filed under the name Escherichia coli. Its description in RNAcentral is "partial 23S ribosomal RNA". It matches the Rfam family "Bacterial large subunit ribosomal RNA", at positions 2763 to 2925 of the family's 2925-position model. The record is from RNAcentral. Lineage: Bacteria; Pseudomonadati; Pseudomonadota; Gammaproteobacteria; Enterobacterales; Enterobacteriaceae.